Molecule: ribosomal RNA, 601 nt
Filed under: Saccharothrix sp. YIM 75947
Lineage: Bacteria; Bacillati; Actinomycetota; Actinomycetes; Pseudonocardiales; Pseudonocardiaceae
Description: bacterial SSU rRNA
Rfam family: Bacterial small subunit ribosomal RNA
Source: RNAcentral
ACACGAGCGGCGAACGGGUGAGUAACACGUGGGUAACCUGCCCUGUACUCUGGGAUAAGCCUGGGAAACUAGGUCUAAUACCGGAUAUGACCCGCGGCGGCAUGGUGGUGGGUGGAAAGUUCCGGCGGUAUGGGAUGGACCCGCGGCCUAUCAGCUUGUUGGUGGGGUAAUGGCCUACCAAGGCGACGACGGGUAGCCGGCCUGAGAGGGUGACCGGCCACACUGGGACUGAGACACGGCCCAGACUCCUACGGGAGGCAGCAGUGGGGAAUAUUGCACAAUGGGCGAAAGCCUGAUGCAGCGACGCCGCGUGAGGGAUGACGGCCUUCGGGUUGUAAACCUCUUUCAGCAGGGACGAAGCGCAAGUGACGGUACCUGCAGAAGAAGCACCGGCUAACUACGUGCCAGCAGCCGCGGUAAUACGUAGGGUGCGAGCGUUGUCCGGAAUUAUUGGGCGUAAAGAGCUCGUAGGCGGUUUGUUGCGUCGGCUGUGAAAACUUCACGCUUAACGUGGAGCCUGCAGUCGAUACGGGCAGACUUGAGUUCGGCAGGGGAGACUGGAAUUCCUGGUGUAGCGGUGAAAUGCGCAGAUAUCAGGAGG